Molecule: long non-coding RNA, 1363 nt
Filed under: Setaria italica (foxtail millet)
Lineage: Eukaryota; Viridiplantae; Streptophyta; Magnoliopsida; Poales; Poaceae
Description: long non-coding RNA (SITA_LNC005176)
Source: RNAcentral
CUGACGGGAAUCUGUCCUUCCAAUGAUAACCAAGUCAGAGCCACUCUCGUUCCUAGCAUCAACAGCUGCUUUUAUGUGCAUGAUGGCUUCCUCCCUUGGGUAUACUUUCCUUCCUUCAGUGUGUCCACAGGCUUUAGGCGACACCUUCAAAUUACUAUACAUGUCAACUUUCUUCCAGGAUAAAUAAAACACAAGUCCACUGCCUGCAGUUUUUCUUUCGGGCAGUGGCAGGGCUUAUUAUCUAAAGCUAACAGAAACAACAAUAGUACUCAUUAUUAGCCAAUAGUGGAAUAAAAAUCACACAGAAAAUUUGGUCAAAAUUUUUAUGUGGUAUUUGAAAAUUUUGAUAACUUAGCUAAGUGAUUUUUAACAAUUUUGUUGCUGCCCUAAAUUUUAUUUUGUGGAGCGUGUCGCGUUUAGCUAUUAUGUAUAAUAAUUGUGUGAACCGAUUCUCCCUCGACCAGGGGGUUGAAGCCGGAUAUUACUUCCAUUAUUAUCUAAAAAAACAGAGUUAAACCUGACAAGGACCGUAUUUGAUACUGUGUUAGCUAAUAAGGUGCCAAUGUAUGAAAGGAUUGAUUAGUAUUCCAAAGAGAGCACACCUGAUCUUCGAGCAUGAUCGCAGCGAAACCAGCAUUGAUAUACCCUUUGAUGGUUCUCUUGAUGUUCAUAGAGUUUCCGUAACCAUUGUCUCCAUCACCAAUCACAGGGAUCGACACAGCUUCGUUGAUGAGACGCCCUUGGUCUACCAUUUCCCCGUAGGAGAUGAGGCCAACGUCCGGCAGGCCAAGUCGCGCGGCAGAGACACAGAAACCUGGAAAAGACACGUACGUGAAAAGAAUCCAAUGCUUUGACACACCUGCUUGAACAUUUGCGCUGUAGCUGAAGAAAUGAUAUGCACCCUAGCUACAUUCCAAAGUUGUAAUAAAACCAUAGCAAUAGUAGCAUGGUACGUUAGUCAGAAAUAGCCACGGAGCACCAGCAGACAGGAUGGUACGUUAGUUGUCAAUGCCAUUUAUACUGCCCUUCAUCUUGAGGUUGGAUUAGCUAGCAUUACUCAGUUGUAAUGACGCAUGCGAUUUCGUCGUGACGAGGAGGAGGAUGUGUGUUGUCAUGAGUUUAUACCGCUCAUGAAGGCGAUGGGGAAGCCGGCCUGCUCGACGAGGCGCGCGGCGAGGGCGUCGAAGCAGCACGGCGCCUGGUGCGCGCCGGGCGAGGCGAGGAUGCGGCGGAGCGCCGCCGCCGGGGACUCCCCCUGGCGGAUGCCGCGGAAGGACUCCUCGGUGGCGAAGUAGGGGCUGCGCGCGGCCAUCCUGAGCUGGCGGCGCGGGAGACUGGAAAUUGGAUGGAGGAGAGGGGAGCU